AUCGCUUCUCGGCCUUUUGGCUAAGAUCAAAGUGUAGUAUCUGUUCUUAUCAGCUUAAUAUCUAGCUUAAGAUCAAGAUGGAGACGAAGCUAAGCGUGAUGGAGAGGACUCUUA
RNAcentral lists this small nuclear RNA (114 nucleotides) under Magallana gigas (Pacific oyster). RNAcentral's name for it is "Crassostrea gigas (Pacific oyster) U2 spliceosomal RNA". It matches the Rfam family "U2 spliceosomal RNA". Rfam says of the family: U2 is a small nuclear RNA (snRNA) component of the spliceosome (involved in pre-mRNA splicing). Complementary binding between U2 snRNA (in an area lying towards the 5' end but 3' to hairpin I) and the branchpoint sequence (BPS) of the intron results the bulging out of an unpaired adenosine, on the BPS, which initiates a nucleophilic attack at the intronic 5' splice site, thus starting the first of two transesterification reactions that mediate splicing. Lineage: Eukaryota; Metazoa; Mollusca; Bivalvia; Ostreida; Ostreidae. The record is from Rfam by way of RNAcentral.